Molecule: non-coding RNA, 45 nt
Organism: Mustela putorius furo (domestic ferret)
Lineage: Eukaryota; Metazoa; Chordata; Mammalia; Carnivora; Mustelidae
Source: Rfam
CCAAAGGAGUUUAUAAACUCCAUUAAAGGAAAUUCUAAAAGUUGU